RNAcentral lists this unclassified non-coding RNA (25 nucleotides) under Mus musculus (house mouse). Its description in RNAcentral is "oocyte_clustered_small_RNA7749". The record is from RNAcentral. Lineage: Eukaryota; Metazoa; Chordata; Mammalia; Rodentia; Muridae.
UAGCCAGCACCACCCUGCAACAGCA